This 856-nucleotide ribosomal RNA is filed under the name Skoua fertilis. RNAcentral's name for it is "LSU rRNA". It matches the Rfam family "Eukaryotic large subunit ribosomal RNA", at positions 92 to 968 of the family's 3401-position model. The record is from RNAcentral. Lineage: Eukaryota; Fungi; Ascomycota; Leotiomycetes; Myxotrichaceae.
AGUGAAGCGGCAACAGCUCAAAUUUGAAAUCUGGCCCCCUCGGGGUCCGAGUUGUAAUUUGUAGAAGAUGCUUCGGGUGUGGCCCCGGUCUAAGUUCCUUGGAACAGGACGUCACAGAGGGUGAGAAUCCCGUAUGUGACCGGUGGCCUCCCCCGUGUGAAGCUCUUUCGACGAGUCGAGUUGUUUGGGAAUGCAGCUCAAAAUGGGUGGUAAAUUUCAUCUAAAGCUAAAUAUUGGCCAGAGACCGAUAGCGCACAAGUAGAGUGAUCGAAAGAUGAAAAGCACUUUGGAAAGAGGGUUAAACAGUACGUGAAAUUGUUGAAAGGGAAGCGCUUGCAACCAGACUUGCGCGCGGUCGAUCAUCCGGGGUUCUCCCCGGUGCACUCGGCCGUGCGCAGGCCAGCAUCGGUUUGGGCGGCCGGACAAAGGCCUCGGGAAUGUGGCUCCUUCGGGAGUGUUAUAGCCCGAGGUGCAAUGCGGCCAGCCCGGACCGAGGACCGCGCUUCGGCUAGGAUGCUGGCGUAAUGGUUGUAAGCGGCCCGUCUUGAAACACGGACCAAGGAGUCUAACAUCUAUGCGAGUGUUUGGGUGGCAAACCCAUCCGCGUAAUGAAAGUGAACGGAGGUGAGAACCCUUAAGGGCGCAUCAUCGACCGAUCCUGAUGUCUUCGGAUGGAUUUGAGUAAGAGCAUAGCUGUUGGGACCCGAAAGAUGGUGAACUAUGCCUGAAUAGGGUGAAGCCAGAGGAAACUCUGGUGGAGGCUCGCAGCGGUUCUGACGUGCAAAUCGAUCGUCAAAUUUGGGCAUAGGGGCGAAAGACUAAUCGAACCAUCUAGUAGCUGGUUCCUGCCGAAGUU